This 76-nucleotide transfer RNA is filed under the name Magnetospirillum gryphiswaldense. RNAcentral's name for it is "tRNA-Lys". It matches the Rfam family "tRNA". Rfam says of the family: Transfer RNA (tRNA) molecules are approximately 80 nucleotides in length. Their secondary structure includes four short double-helical elements and three loops (D, anti-codon, and T loops). The record is from RNAcentral. Lineage: Bacteria; Pseudomonadati; Pseudomonadota; Alphaproteobacteria; Rhodospirillales; Rhodospirillaceae. RNAcentral also lists the same sequence under 9 other names.
GGGCGCUUAGCUCAGUUGGUAGAGCAGCUGACUCUUAAUCAGCGGGUCGUAGGUUCGAAUCCUACAGCGCCCACCA